This 422-nucleotide ribosomal RNA is filed under the name Echinaster sentus. RNAcentral's name for it is "partial 12S ribosomal RNA". It matches the Rfam family "Bacterial small subunit ribosomal RNA", at positions 775 to 1397 of the family's 1533-position model. The record is from RNAcentral. Lineage: Eukaryota; Metazoa; Echinodermata; Asteroidea; Spinulosida; Echinasteridae.
AGAUUAGAUACCCUGUUAUUCCAGCCGUAAAAUCUUCUAUACGCUAGAAAACUACGAACAACAGUUUAAAACUCAAAGAACUUGGCGGUUUUUCAAAACUACCUGGAGGAGCUUGCUCUUUAAUCCGAUAACCCACGAAAAACCUCACCAACCCUAGCAAAAUCAGCCUGUAUACCAUCGUCGUCAGCUUACCCCGCGAGAGCAAAAGUAAACACAAAGAAUAAAACUUCAUUCUUACUCUUUACGUCAGAUCGAGGUGCAGCCCAUGAGUUGGAAACAAGUGAGCUACAAUAACAACAACAAUCUAAAAAAGAUAUGAAAUCAACUAUGAAAAAACAGAAAAAAAAGGAUUCAGUAGUAAUAUUUAAAAGAAAAUAAAUAUGAAAAAUUAUAAAGCUCUGAAAUUCGCACACAUCGCCCGU